Molecule: ribosomal RNA, 301 nt
Filed under: uncultured bacterium
Lineage: Bacteria
Description: partial 16S ribosomal RNA
Rfam family: Bacterial small subunit ribosomal RNA
Source: RNAcentral
CAGUAGCCACGGUAAUACGAAGGGUGCAAGCGUUACUCGGAAUUACUGGGCGUAAAGCGUGCGUAGGUGGUGGUUUAAGUCCGUUGUGAAAGCCCUGGGCUCAACCUGGGAAUUGCAGUGGAUACUGGGUCACUAGAGUGUGGUAGAGGAUAGUGGAAUUUCCGGUGUAGCAGUGAAAUGCGUAGAGAUCGGAAGGAACAUCUGUGGCGAAGGCGACUAUCUGGGCCAACACUGACACUGAGGCACGGAAGCGUGGGGAGCAAACAGGAUUAGAUACCCCAGUAGUCCCUGUCUCUUAUAC